UUGUCUCAAAGAUUAAGCCAUGCAUGUCUCAGUACAAGCCAAAUUAAGGUGAAACCGCGAAAGGCUCAUUAAAUCAGUUAUGGUUCCUUAGAUCGUACCAACAUUUACUUGGAUAACUGUGGUAAUUCUAGAGCUAAUACAUGCAAACAGAGUCCCGACCGGAGACGGAAGGGACGCUUUUAUUAGAUCAAAACCAAUCGGUGGCGGGUGUAACAAGCCGUCAUCGCACAAUCUGUUGAAUCUGAAUAACUUACUGCUGAUCGCACGGUCUCGCACCGGCGACGCAUCUUUCAAAUGUCUGCCUUAUCAACUGUCGAUGGUAGGUUCUGCGCCUACCAUGGUUGUAACGGGUAACGGGGAAUCAGGGUUCGAUUCCGGAGAGGGAGCCUGAGAAACGGCUACCACAUCCAAGGAAGGCAGCAGGCGCGCAAAUUACCCACUCCCGGCACGGGGAGGUAGUGACGAAAAAUAACGAUACGGGACUCAUCCGAGGCCCCGUAAUCGGAAUGAGCACACUUUAAAACCUUUAACGAGGAUCAAUUGGAGGGCAAGUCUGGUGCCAGCAGCCGCGGUAAUUCCAGCUCCAAUAGCGUAUAUUAAAGUUGUUGCGGUUAAAAAGCUCGUAGUCGAAUCUGUGUCCCGCGCCGCCGGUUCAUCGCUCGCGGUGUUUAACUGGCGUGUCCGCGGGACGUCCUGUCGGUGGGCUUAGCUCGUGAGGGCGGCCCAACUUUAAAUCCCACCGCGGUGCUCUUUACUGAGUGUCGAGGUGGGCCGACACGUUUACUUUGAACAAAUUAGAGUGCUUAAAGCAGGCUAAAACUUCGCCUGAAUAUUGUGUGCAUGGAAUGAUGGAAUAGGACCUCGGUUCUAUUUUGUUGGUUUUCGGAACCCCGAGGUAAUGAUUAAUAGGAACGGAUGGGGGCAUUCGUAUUGCGACGUUAGAGGUGAAAUUCUUGGAUCGUCGCAAGACGGACAGAAGCGAAAGCAUUUGCCAAAAACGUUUUCAUUGAUCAAGAACGAAAGUUAGAGGCUCGAAGGCGAUCAGAUACCGCCCUAGUUCUAACCAUAAACGAUGCCAGCUAGCGAUCCGCCGACGUUCCUCCGAUGACUCGGCGGGCAGCUUCCGGGAAACCAAAGCUUUUGGGUUCCGGGGGAAGUAUGGUUGCAAAGCUGAAACUUAAAGGAAUUGACGGAAGGGCACCACCAGGAGUGGAGCCUGCGGCUUAAUUUGACUCAACACUGGAAACCUCACCAGGCCCGGACACCGGAAGGAUUGACAGAUUGAGAGCUCUUUCUUGAUUCGGUGGGUGGUGGUGCAUGGCCGUUCUUAGUUGGUGGAGCGAUUUGUCUGGUUAAUUCCGAUAACGAACGAGACUCUAGCCUGCUAACUAGGCGUAUUUCCGACAUCUCAAAGGCCCGCUGCCCGGCGUUCCGUUUGUGGGGUUAGUCGCGGUUUUUACUGUCGGCGUACAAACAUUUCUUCUUAGAGGGACAGGCGGCUUCUAGCCGCACGAGAUUGAGCAAUAACAGGUCUGUGAUGCCCUUAGAUGUUCUGGGCCGCACGCGCGCUACACUGAAGGGAUCAGCGUGUCCUCCCUGGCCGAGAGGCCCGGGUAACCCGCUGAACCCCCUUCGUGCUAGGGAUUGGGGCUUGCAAUUGUUCCCCAUGAACGAGGAAUUCCCAGUAAGCGCGAGUCAUAAGCUCGCGUUGAUUACGUCCCUGCCCUUUGUACACACCGCCCGUCGCUACUACCGAUUGAAUGAUUUAGUGAGGUCUUCGGACCGGUACGCGGUGGCGUUUCGACGUUGCCGAUGUUGCUGGGAAGAUGACCAAACUUGAUUAUUU
RNAcentral lists this ribosomal RNA (1846 nucleotides) under Curimopsis setigera. RNAcentral describes it as "SSU rRNA". It matches the Rfam family "Eukaryotic small subunit ribosomal RNA". The record is from RNAcentral. Lineage: Eukaryota; Metazoa; Arthropoda; Insecta; Coleoptera; Byrrhidae.